Molecule: long non-coding RNA, 2146 nt
Filed under: Nicotiana tabacum (common tobacco)
Lineage: Eukaryota; Viridiplantae; Streptophyta; Magnoliopsida; Solanales; Solanaceae
Description: long non-coding RNA (NTAB_LNC003654)
Source: RNAcentral
UUGAGUUUGGAGUUCUAUAAUCUAUAGAUAUUCUGCAUAGUAACCUUGAAGGAGGAUGAGAAAAGGCAUAGAAAUGAAAAGUUUUCUCUUAAAAAAUGAGGCCGAAACCUCUAUAACUUUGGUAGCACCUAUAAUUUUUUAUCUUGAAUUUACAGGUAAAUUAUCAUUGAGAUUGGAGGCUCUUCUUUCCUGAAUUGUAAGGCUUGUGCCCAUGUAGAAAUGUUGGAUACUCUUGAACAAUUUCAUAAACAGAUCUACAACCCCUGCGUCACUGGUAAAAGUUUACAUAUUGACCGCCUAACAAUUUUUCGACCACUCAAGGAUAUCUCUGCAGAUAAGCUCUUGUCCAAUUGAAUCGAAUUAAUAUAGCAAUCAUUUUACAUAGCGGCCAUAAGCAUUAGAAAGUAAAAGAAUAGAUGUUUAGAAGUUCAUAAGAUAAAUUGUUUAGAGAAUCGCAAACAAAUUGCAGCGCAAAUAUAAGAGCUCAAGCUUGAACGAAGUAAAUAGGUCCUCCAUAUUGCACCAGAAGGAAAAUGUAUUAAGAUCUUAUUAUGAACUACAGAAGAAACAUACAAUGGAUAAUCAAAUAUACUCAUAAAUCAGAUCAAGCAAUUCAACAACUGUAAGAGAUAUCUGCAAAAGAAAAAAUUACAAUAAAUAUUUAAAGUUAUAAUUCCCAAGAUUUGAGAGGAAAUACAAUAUAUCAAACUUAAGAACACCGAUGCAAGCCAAAGAUGACAUUAAGAGCGAGGAUUUUUCGAUAUAUAGAUAUAUUAAUCUCAUGUACUACAUUCAUCACAAAGAGAACAUUGUUGGCCAAAGUUAAGUAAUAAUAGAUGUGAAUUCAGUGUAUCCAAGGAAAAGUAGACUCAUUUCAACACAAGAAUGGUCAUGAAUACAACACGAUAAUUCCUAAAUAAUGGAUGGAAACUAAGAAAAGGUACAAAACUAUUUCUUGAAUCUCAAUAUCCAUCACUGCCAAACACUAUUUAUGAAUAAAACUAAAAAAGAAAGCUAAGGCCAUCGAUGUUUUAAUUUCUAGAAGGCAAUCAGGUCCUUCUAAGCUACUAAGGAAAGGAUAGUAACUGCUAGAUUUGCCUAUCUAUUAAGAGGACAGAUAGCACCUAAUGUCACAAACUUUCAAAUUCCUUUUGAACAGAACCGAACACACACAAAAAAAAAAACUAUGGGUGAAUCUGCAAACAAUAAAAAUCACCUUCAUUCUUCCGUUUAUUAUUGCUUAUUUUUACAUAUAUAUUUUGGGUAAAUAUUACUUUUAUUUGAGCUGAUGAACUUGUUCUUUUCGUUCUGAACAGUUUUACCAAUUUUCUGUUGUGUAUAUUUCCUUUCAAAAUGAAUAGAGCAAGUAAAGAAUAUGAUCAUACGUACUUUAGUUCAAUGUGGUGCUAGUUCUUCGAGAAGCUUCGUUCUUUUACUUCUCUUUUCUUACCUGUGGAAUGAAAAGAAUGAGUCAAAAAAAUUGUAAUAGGAAUUAGUAUAUAAAAACAACAUAAAAUAAAAAUAUUCACUCCUUUCUGUAAGACUAUGGAAAAAUUUCAAAAGACUCCAUAAUAAUGACACACCAUAUAUAGUAAUGAAAGAUACAAAUAUCAAAGUUGAACUGGAGCAUUUAGUUCAUAGGACCAAAAAAUUACACAAAAAGAAAAGACUACAUAUAGGUUCUUGAAGCAAUUUACCCAUCAAAUCAAAUCGAACAAUUUUGUCUAUUUCUUCAUUCAUACAUUGUCCCAAACUCUGUCCCCACUAAUGACAAAGUAAAGUGAAAAUACCAUUGAAGAAGUGAAGAAGUGAAGGAUAGCGAUAACGUAUAAUAACGCUAAAAACGUAAAAACCUACCAUCUUUGAGAAAUUUCUUCACAGCCAGAUCUAGAUUUUCGUGGGAAGUGGUAAAAACCUAAGAUCUUUGAGGAAAUUCUUCGCAGGUCUGGAUUUUUAUCGGAAGUGGAAAGGUUUCUUGAUGCAUAUGUAAUAAAGAGAAACAAUUACAAUAGAAAAAAGCGACUGUUAGUGGAAAAAAGGUGCGGCGGUUAAUGGAACCGGCAGUGGUAAGCGAGUAGAAGUAAAGAAGUGACUGUCAGUGGAAAAAAGAGAGAUAAAAAUGCUAAGCACAUUAAGCGAAAAAAAU